Fusarium redolens is the source of this 73-nucleotide non-coding RNA. NCBI's taxonomy places the organism in Eukaryota, Fungi, Ascomycota, Sordariomycetes, Hypocreales, Nectriaceae. The record is from the annotation of a RefSeq genome assembly.
GCCCCUUUGGCGUAAUGGUUAACGCGUCUGACUUCUAAUCAGAAGACUCGGGGUUCGAGUCCCCGAAGGGGUU